UCCCAGAUGGCUCAGUGGUAAAAGGAUCUGCCUGCAGUACAGGAGACCUGGGUUCGAUCCCUGGGUUGGGAA
This 72-nucleotide transfer RNA is filed under the name Ovis aries (sheep). It matches the Rfam family "tRNA". From Rfam's summary of the family: Transfer RNA (tRNA) molecules are approximately 80 nucleotides in length. Their secondary structure includes four short double-helical elements and three loops (D, anti-codon, and T loops). Further hydrogen bonds mediate the characteristic L-shaped molecular structure. tRNAs have two regions of fundamental functional importance: the anti-codon, which is responsible for specific mRNA codon recognition, and the 3' end, to which the tRNAs corresponding amino acid is attached (by aminoacyl-tRNA synthetases). tRNAs cope with the degeneracy of the genetic code in two manners: having more than one tRNA (with a specific anti-codon) for a particular amino acid; and 'wobble' base-pairing, i.e. permitting non-standard base-pairing at the 3rd anti-codon position. Lineage: Eukaryota; Metazoa; Chordata; Mammalia; Artiodactyla; Bovidae. The record is from Rfam by way of RNAcentral.